Molecule: non-coding RNA, 495 nt
Organism: Arachis ipaensis
Lineage: Eukaryota; Viridiplantae; Streptophyta; Magnoliopsida; Fabales; Fabaceae
Source: RefSeq, a predicted model, not a curated record
UCCAAGGCCUGUCAGUCCAGGAACAUUAAUUGGGCACAAUCUACUACAAAGAUUGCACCACCUACUCCAACUGCACUCAGCCUGUCAGUUCAGGGACAUUGAUUGGGUACAAUCUACUACAAAGGCUGCACCACCUACUCCAACUGCACUCAAUGAAUUACCACAGUAACGAAGAUGAUUAUGUGUGUGAGAUUGCUCAAACAAUGAUGGUGAAUAUUCUAGACCUUAUUGAGAAGAAAAAGACAUGACAAACGGUGAACAUCCUCCCCCCGAAUCCUUCUUCAAAGCUGCCAGAAGUCUUUGGAAUGUUCUUCUCGGUUAGUCAUUAUGUACUUUUUUUUUGAAUAAGAUAUUAUUUAGGUUCGAUUGUGUUAUGCAUGUAAUUGGUGAUAAAUGAUGUCCAAAUACAUACAAUUCUUAAUUUACCAAAGUUCUGAAAUUGGGUAACAGCAACUAGCAGCUUGCUAUCUUUAUACAAUUCUUGAUUUAACAAUG